This 693-nucleotide ribosomal RNA is filed under the name uncultured Actinomycetes bacterium. RNAcentral's name for it is "bacterial SSU rRNA". It matches the Rfam family "Bacterial small subunit ribosomal RNA", at positions 754 to 1449 of the family's 1533-position model. The record is from RNAcentral. Lineage: Bacteria; Bacillati; Actinomycetota; Actinomycetes.
CGAAAGUGUGGGGAGCGAACAGGAUUAGAUACCCUGGUAGUCCACACAGUAAACGAUGGGCACUAGUUGUGGGAACCUUCCACGGUUUCUGCGACGCAGCUAACGCAUUAAGUGCCCCGCCUGGGGAGUACGAUCGCAAGAUUAAAACUCAAAGGAAUUGACGGGGCCCCGCACAAGCAGCGGAGCAUGCGGCUUAAUUCGACGCAACGCGAAGAACCUUACCAAGGCUUGACAUAUACAGGAAUAUGGCAGAGAUGUCAUAGCCGCAAGGUCUGUAUACAGGUGGUGCAUGGUUGUCGUCAGCUCGUGUCGUGAGAUGUUGGGUUAAGUCCCGCAACGAGCGCAACCCUCGUUCUGUGUUGCCAGCAUUUAGUUGGGGACUCACAGGAGACUGCCGGGGUCAACUCGGAGGAAGGUGGGGAUGACGUCAAAUCAUCAUGCCCCUUAUGUCUUGGGCUGCACGCAUGCUACAAUGGCUGGUACAAAGGGCUGCAAUACUGCAAAGUGGAGCGAAUCCCAAAAAGCCAGUCUCAGUUCGGAUUGGGGUCUGCAACUCGACCCCAUGAAGUCGGAGUUGCUAGUAAUCGUAGAUCAGCAACGCUACGGUGAAUACGUUCCCGGGGCUUGUACACACCGCCCGUCACAUCACGAAAGUCGGUAACACCCGAAGUCAGUGGCCCAACCGUAAGGGGG